RNAcentral lists this ribosomal RNA (995 nucleotides) under uncultured bacterium. RNAcentral's name for it is "bacterial SSU rRNA". It matches the Rfam family "Bacterial small subunit ribosomal RNA", at positions 356 to 1376 of the family's 1533-position model. The record is from RNAcentral. RNAcentral also lists the same sequence under 1 other name.
GGGGAAUAUUGCACAAUGGGGGAAACCCUGAUGCAGCGACGCCGCGUGGAGGAAGAAGGUCUUCGGAUUGUAAACUCCUGUUGUUGAGGAAGAUAAUGACGGUACUCAACAAGGAAGUGACGGCUAACUACGUGCCAGCAGCCGCGGUAAAACGUAGGUCACAAGCGUUGUCCGGAAUUACUGGGUGUAAAGGGAGCGCAGGCGGGAGAACAAGUUGGAAGUGAAAUCCAUGGGCUCAACCCAUGAACUGCUUUCAAAACUGUUUUUCUUGAGUAGUGCAGAGGUAGGCGGAAUUCCCGGUGUAGCGGUGGAAUGCGUAGAUAUCGGGAGGAACACCAGUGGCGAAGGCGGCCUACUGGGCACCAACUGACGCUGAGGCUCGAAAGUGUGGGUAGCAAACAGGAUUAGAUACCCUGGUAGUCCACACCGUAAACGAUGAUUACUAGGUGUUGGAGGAUUGACCCCUUCAGUGCCGCAGUUAACACAAUAAGUAAUCCACCUGGGGAGUACGACCGCAAGGUUGAAACUCAAAGGAAUUGACGGGGGCCCGCACAAGCAGUGGAGUAUGUGGUUUAAUUCGACGCAACGCGAAGAACCUUACCAAGUCUUGACAUCCCUUGACGAUGCUGGAAACAGUAUUUCUCUUCGGAGCAAGGAGACAGGUGGUGCAUGGUUGUCGUCAGCUCGUGUCGUGAGAUGUUGGGUUAAGUCCCGCAACGAGCGCAACCCUUAUGGUCAGUUACUACGCAAGAGGACUCUGGCCAGACUGCCGUUGACAAAACGGAGGAAGGUGGGGAUGACGUCAAAUCAUCAUGCCCUUUAUGACUUGGGCUACACACGUACUACAAUGGCGUUAAACAAAGAGAAGCAAGACCGCGAGGUGGAGCAAAACUCAGAAACAACGUCCCAGUUCGGACUGCAGGCUGCAACUCGCCUGCACGAAGUCGGAAUUGCUAGUAAUCGUGGAUCAGCAUGCCACGGUGAAUACGUUCCCG